GUCCUGGCCCUAAACGAUGAAUGCUUGGUGUGGCGGGUAUCGAUCCCUGCCGUGCCGAAGCUAACGCAUUAAGCAUUCCGCCUGGGGAGUACGGUAGCAAGGCUGAAACUCAAAGGAAUUGACGGGGGCCCCGCACAAGCGGUGGAGCAUGUGGUUCAAUUCGACGCAACGCGAAGAACCUUACCCAGGCUUGAACUGCGAGUGACCACGCCCGAAAGGGCGCUUCCGCAAGGACACUCGUAGAGGUGCUGCAUGGCUGUCGU
This 263-nucleotide ribosomal RNA is filed under the name uncultured bacterium. Its description in RNAcentral is "partial 16S ribosomal RNA". It matches the Rfam family "Bacterial small subunit ribosomal RNA", at positions 793 to 1055 of the family's 1533-position model. The record is from RNAcentral.